AAGGUAGAUCAUUGGCCUUGGGGGCUGCCCAGCCAACUGCCACUCGUGCUCUACAAGAUCAUUCCGGAGCUGACUAUGAGUGUGUGCAUCCUGAGUCUAACGAUGUGCUUGAAGAAAAGCUUGUAGGCGAGAAGGGGUUUCUUUCCGGUUGCACACGGGUACCAACAUUGUCGUAGAAACAAGGCAGUUUUAACCUUCUCUCAUCCUCGAGGAUCAGGUUGUGUAGAAUCACACAACAUUUCAUGAUGUUCUUCAAGAUUUUUUUGUCCCCAAAACGAGCUCGACCCCGAACUAUGGCAAACCUUGC
This 307-nucleotide long non-coding RNA is filed under the name Hordeum vulgare. RNAcentral's name for it is "long non-coding RNA (HVUL_LNC011667)". Lineage: Eukaryota; Viridiplantae; Streptophyta; Magnoliopsida; Poales; Poaceae. The record is from RNAcentral.